Molecule: long non-coding RNA, 234 nt
Filed under: Chinchilla lanigera (long-tailed chinchilla)
Lineage: Eukaryota; Metazoa; Chordata; Mammalia; Rodentia; Chinchillidae
Description: lncRNA (ENSCLAG00000023589.1)
Source: RNAcentral
AAAUAAACAAUCCUAAGAGGUCCGGGUUCCAAGCUAAACACCUCCACCGUGGAGUUCCUCCUGGGGGUGUCCAAGAGGAAUCGCUUUAAGCUGAUAAGGUUGGACCAUCCCAAAACGCCAGCCCUCGCCAGCAGCCAGGAGGAACCUUGUAGAACCAGCACAAAUUUGCAGCUGGUGGCGUCUCUCAAAGUCAAACACGGACCUCCAUGUAGGGAUGUAUCCUGUACAUGUCCA